RNAcentral lists this ribosomal RNA (496 nucleotides) under uncultured bacterium. RNAcentral's name for it is "bacterial SSU rRNA". It matches the Rfam family "Bacterial small subunit ribosomal RNA", at positions 903 to 1397 of the family's 1533-position model. The record is from RNAcentral.
AAAGGAAUUGACGGGGACCCGCACAAGCAGAGGAGCAUGUUGUUUAAUUCGAAGCAACGCGAAAAACCUUACCAAGACUUGACAUUUGGUGCAUAGCCUAGAGAUAGGUGAAGUUGUAGCAAUACAACACCAAAACAGAUGGUGCAUGGUUGUCGUCAGCUCGUGUCGUGAGAUGUUCGGUUAAGUCCGAUAACGAGCGCAACCCUUAUCGUUAGUUGCCAAUAUUUAGUUAGGAACUCUAGCGAGACUGCCGUAGAUAAUACGGAGGAAGGUGGGGAUGACGUCAAAUCAUCAUGCCUCUUACGUCUUGGGCUACAAACGUGCUACAAUGGUCAUUACAAAGAGAUGCGAUGUGGUAACGCUGAGCCAACCUCAAAAAAAUGAUCCCAGUUCGGAUUGUGGGCUGAAACUCGCCCACAUGAAGUCGGAUUUGCUAGUAAUCCCGAAUCAGCAUGUCGGGGUGAAUGCGUUCCCGGGUCUUGUACACACCGCCCGU